RNAcentral lists this ribosomal RNA (253 nucleotides) under uncultured bacterium. RNAcentral describes it as "partial 16S ribosomal RNA". It matches the Rfam family "Bacterial small subunit ribosomal RNA", at positions 524 to 776 of the family's 1533-position model. The record is from RNAcentral.
UACGAGAGGCCCAACCGUUAUUCGGAAUUACUGGGCUUAAAGAGUUCGUAGGCGGCGCGGAAAGUAGGGUGUGAAAGCCCUCGGCUCAACCGAGGAAUUGCGCUCUAAACUGCCGUGCUUGAGGAACCUAGAGGUGAGCAGAACUGAUGGUGGAGCGGUGAAAUGCGUUGAUAUCAUCAGGAAUACCGGAGGCGAAGGCGGCUCACUGGGGGUUAUCUGACGCUGAGGAACGAAAGCCAGGGGAGCGAACGGG